RNAcentral lists this long non-coding RNA (520 nucleotides) under Ananas comosus (pineapple). Its description in RNAcentral is "long non-coding RNA (ACOM_LNC026328)". Lineage: Eukaryota; Viridiplantae; Streptophyta; Magnoliopsida; Poales; Bromeliaceae. The record is from RNAcentral.
AGCUACAGGUAGUUGUAGUUUUUGGGUUAUUAUACAUACUGAUGCUUAUGUCUUGCUGGAGCGAGUAUUUUGUUUACCUGGAUGUGAUGUAUGUAUAGUGAACCUCUGAUGUUUAUAUAUAUUUUAUUUUGGCAGCUUUAUACUACUGAUUGUAGUGUUGUAUGAUUACAGGUACAGGUACAGCUAUUGCUUCGUAUACAGGAGAAAUUUCUUGUAUACGGCGGAUUUGUCGGCGUGCCCGGAGAAACGAGUAAUUUGGGGCGUGACAAAUUUAAUUAUAAGUUUAAAAUAUAAAAAUUUAAAUUCAAUUAUAGGGAUAUUAUCAUUAUAACUAACAACUAUUACUCUUAUUCCAAAUAACCAUCCAAACGUAAUUUUUCUAGUUCAAGCUUAUACUCACAUUUUCAUCCAAGCAAAAAAAUACACUUGUUCUUACAAAAAUCUGUACUUGUACCUAUCCCCGGUGUAACUAGUUCCUACUAAUUUCCGAACCAAACGGAGCCUAAAGAUUUAUGUACAU